RNAcentral lists this ribosomal RNA (252 nucleotides) under uncultured bacterium. RNAcentral's name for it is "partial 16S ribosomal RNA". It matches the Rfam family "Bacterial small subunit ribosomal RNA", at positions 524 to 776 of the family's 1533-position model. The record is from RNAcentral.
UACGUAGGGUGCGAGCGUUAAUCGGAAUUACUGGGCGUAAAGCGUGCGCAGGCGGUGAUGUAGACAGAUGUGAAAUCCCCGGGCUCAACCUGGGAACUGCAUUUGUGACUGCAUCGCUGGAGUGCGGCAGAGGGGGAUGGAAUUCCGCGUGUAGCAGUGAAAUGCGUAGAUAUGCGGAGGAACACCGAUGGCGAAGGCAAUCCCCUGGGCCUGCACUGACGCUCAUGCACGAAAGCGUGGGGAGCAAACAGG